Non-coding RNA from Picea glauca (white spruce), 123 nucleotides. NCBI's taxonomy places the organism in Eukaryota, Viridiplantae, Streptophyta, Pinopsida, Pinales, Pinaceae. The record is from Rfam.
UCUUAUGUACAUGCCUAAAAUGUUAACGCACCAAAUCCCAUCAAAACUCCACAGUUAAGAAUGCUUGGGAUAGAGUAGUACUAGGAUGGGUGGUCUCCAAGGAAUGUUGGAUAUGUGUUAUAA